Molecule: long non-coding RNA, 849 nt
Filed under: Medicago truncatula (barrel medic)
Lineage: Eukaryota; Viridiplantae; Streptophyta; Magnoliopsida; Fabales; Fabaceae
Description: lncRNA gene6435
Source: RNAcentral
GUACAAAUCUUAAACCAUUACUGAAAAAGAGCCUGAAAAAUCUAGCGUUACUUGCAUUGAUGAUACGAAAUCUAUACUUACGACGUCGUACAGUUAAACGUGGCCAAGCUUUACCGUUUACAAUGAUUGCGUCACCAAAAUAUUCCGGUUGCCACUGUGGAUGAAUCGUAGGGUUGUUACCAGUUGAGUUCAUGAAAAUCGAACCGUCCGUUUUAAAGCUACGAUCGAAUAACAUCAACGGUAAAUCGAAUUCGUUACCGUGUGGUAAUUUUAGGUGUUGAUUAUUUGGAUAGUGAUAUGACUUUUUUGUCCAAGUGGGUCCCUUGAUUUUGAAUCCAGCGGUGAAAAAUGAGUUUGGGUUACCAUCGCUUUCGGGUUCAUGAAUUCCACCGUGGAGAUGAACUACAGUGGGAAUACCAUUGGUUGUUUUGGUCAAUGAAGUGGGGAUAGUUGGGUCCCAUGGGAGUAUGUGAUUUGGAGGGAGGUGAUUUUGCCACGUCACGUCUGUGGAGAUUCCGUUGAGGGCUUCGAUUGUUGGACCAGGAAUUGUUGCUUUGUGUUUGUUUAAUCCGUAAGCGUAAACGGUUGUUGGUGGAAGAUCUCUCAACAUACCCAUUUCUUCUUGAACAUGCCAAUCUUGAGAGACUUUGAUUUGGGAACGCCAUCUACAACCUUGUAGCCAUAGACUUUGGGCAUAUUGGGAAGGUCAUCAACAAACAUCUUCAGCUUGGAUGCAUUUAUGAGUUUGACUGUAGCUGCUGCUGAUGAUGAUGAUAAGGAAACAAAACAUAGUAAAUGAGCUAAAAUUGUGAGUAGCUUCAAGAGCACUGUUUUCUCCAUCGCUACCUU